AGUGAACGCUGGCGGUAGGCCUAACACAUGCAAGUCGAACGGCAGCACAGUAAGAGCUUGCGCUUACGCGUGGCGAGUGGCGGACGGGUGAGGAAUACAUCGGAAUCUACUUUUUCGGGGGGGAUAACGUAGGGAAACUUACGCUAAUACCGCAUACGACCUACGUGUUAAAGCAGGGGAACUUCGGACCUUGCGCGAUUGGAUGAGCUGCGGUGGGAUUAGCUAGUGGGCGUGGUAAAGGCCCACAAAGGCGACGAUUCGUAGCUGGUGUAAGAGGAUGCCGACCCACACAGGAACUGCAACACGCGCCACACUCUUACGGCAGGAAGCCGAGGGGAGUUUUGGACACUGAGGGCAAUUUUGCUCCAGCCAGACCGCUGGGGUGAGGAGGGCCUUCGGGUUGUAAACUCCUUUUGUUGAGAAAGAAAGGCGGCAGGUUAAAACUCCGCUGUUCUGACGGUAACCAAAGAGUAAGCAACGGCUAACUUCGUG
This 492-nucleotide ribosomal RNA is filed under the name uncultured bacterium. RNAcentral describes it as "partial 16S ribosomal RNA". It matches the Rfam family "Bacterial small subunit ribosomal RNA", at positions 29 to 507 of the family's 1533-position model. The record is from RNAcentral.